GACGAACGCUGGCGGCGUGCUUAACACAUGCAAGUCGAGCGGUAAGGCCCUUUCGGGGUACGACGAGCGGCGAGCGGGUGGAGUAACAACGUGGGUGGACCUCGCCCUCCAGCUCUGGGAGUAAAGCCUGGGAAACGUAGGGUCGUAAUAACUGGAUAUGACUCCACGGUGCAUGUCGUGGGGUGGAAAGACCUUGUGCGGCUGAGGAUGGCCCGCGGCCUAUCAGCUUGUUGGUGGGGUGGAUGGCCUACCAAGGCGACGACGGGUAGCCGGCCUGAGAGGGCGACCGGCCACACUGGGACUGAGACACGGCCCAGACUCCU
This 323-nucleotide ribosomal RNA is filed under the name uncultured bacterium. RNAcentral's name for it is "bacterial SSU rRNA". It matches the Rfam family "Bacterial small subunit ribosomal RNA", at positions 28 to 340 of the family's 1533-position model. The record is from RNAcentral.